CCUACGGGAGGCAGCAGUCGAGAAUCUUCCGCAAUGGGCGAAAGCCUGACGGAGCGACACCGCGUACAGGAUGAAGGCCUUCGGGUUGUAAACUGUUGUCACGCUAUAGGAACUGCCUGGUGUUUAUAGCGCCAGGCCUGACUAAAGCGAGAGGAAGCACCGGCUAACUCCGUGCCAGCAGCCGCGGUAAU
Molecule: ribosomal RNA, 191 nt
Filed under: uncultured Planctomycetales bacterium
Lineage: Bacteria; Pseudomonadati; Planctomycetota; Planctomycetia; Planctomycetales
Description: partial 16S ribosomal RNA
Rfam family: Bacterial small subunit ribosomal RNA
Source: RNAcentral